AAGUCGUAACAAGGUCUCCGUUGGUGAACCAGCGGAGGGAUCAUUACUGAGUACUACACUCUCUACCCUUUGUGAACUAUUAUACCUGUUGCUUCGGCGGCGCCCGCAAGGGUGCCCGCCGGUCUCAUCAGAAUCUCUGUUUUCGAACCCGACGAUACUUCUGAGUGUUCUUAGCGAACUGUCAAAACUUUUAACAACGGAUCUCUUGGCUCCAGCAUCGAUGAAGAACGCAGCGAAACGCGAUAUGUAAUGUGAAUUGCAGAAUUCAGUGAAUCAUCGAAUCUUUGAACGCACAUGGCGCCUUCCAGUAUCCUGGGAGGCAUGCCUGUCCGAGCGUCGUUUCAACCCUCGAGCCCCUGUGCCCGGCGUUGGGGAUCUGCCACGGCAGGCCCCUAAAACCAGUGGCGGACCCGAAGGGCCCUCUCCUUUGCGCAGUAGCAUUCGCCUCGCAUCGGGAGUCCUCGGCGUCCUGCCUCUAAACCCCCCACAAGCCCGCUUCGGCGGCACCAAGGUUGACCUCGGAUCAGGUAGGAAUACCCGCUGAACUUAA
This 550-nucleotide ribosomal RNA is filed under the name uncultured fungus. RNAcentral describes it as "eukaryotic LSU rRNA". The stretch from base 186 to 339 matches the Rfam family "5.8S ribosomal RNA". Lineage: Eukaryota; Fungi. The record is from RNAcentral.